UACGUAUGGUGCGAACGUUGUUCGGAAUCACUGGGCAUAAAGAGCACGUAGGCGGUUAAGCAAGUCCAUUGUGAAAUCCCCCGGCCUAACCGGGGAAUUGCAUUCGAUACUGGAUAGCUAGAGUUCGGCAGAGGGAAGCGGAAUUUCCGGUGUAGCGGUGAAAUGCGUAGAUAUCGGAAGGAACAUCAGUGGCGAAAGCGGCUUCCUGGACCAGAACUGACGAUCAGGCUCGAAAGCGUGGGGAGCAAACAGG
Molecule: ribosomal RNA, 253 nt
Filed under: uncultured bacterium
Lineage: Bacteria
Description: partial 16S ribosomal RNA
Rfam family: Bacterial small subunit ribosomal RNA
Source: RNAcentral